CCAUAUGAUCAGCUUGUUUGGUAC
RNAcentral lists this non-coding RNA (24 nucleotides) under Arabidopsis thaliana (thale cress). Lineage: Eukaryota; Viridiplantae; Streptophyta; Magnoliopsida; Brassicales; Brassicaceae. The record is from RNAcentral.